This 394-nucleotide transfer-messenger RNA is filed under the name uncultured Alloprevotella sp. It matches the Rfam family "transfer-messenger RNA". Rfam says of the family: Bacterial tmRNA, also known as 10Sa RNA or SsrA, is named for its dual tRNA and mRNA-like properties. The record is from RNAcentral. Lineage: Bacteria; Pseudomonadati; Bacteroidota; Bacteroidia; Bacteroidales; Prevotellaceae.
GACCGGAUUUGACAGCGGGCAGAAGCGGUGUGUAAGCAUGCAGUGCGCCUGAAAGUGGGCACUUAAAUCUCGGCUUUCAAAAAUUUAUCUGGCGAAAACAACUACGCUAUCGCUGCCUAACCGAAGCACAGUAGGUUAUCGGCUUAAUUCCGACACAAGGUGACGGAACGAUACAUCACCCAAGGCUACAUGUCCCGAAGCGACUUGACAAGGUGGUGCAGCAAAAUCGGGACUGGUCUGAGGCGGCCUCGCGCCGAAGGCGAGAUUUUAGAGGAUAAGGCAACGGUUGGUGGCUCUGGUCUUGCCGCUGCACGAAAAUUCAGGCAGAGAUAAGCAUGUAGAAAGCAUAUUGGUUCCCUGUUUGGACGAGGGUUCGACUCCCUCCUGAUCCACC